Molecule: ribosomal RNA, 438 nt
Filed under: uncultured bacterium
Lineage: Bacteria
Description: bacterial SSU rRNA
Rfam family: Bacterial small subunit ribosomal RNA
Source: RNAcentral
CGGGAGGCAGCAGUGGGGAAUAUUGGACAAUGGGCGCAAGCCUGAUCCAGCCAUGCCGCGUGAGUGAUGACGGCCCUAGGGUUGUAAAGCUCUUUCAACGGUGAAGAUAAUGACGGUAACCGUAGAAGAAGCCCCGGCUAACUUCGUGCCAGCAGCCGCGGUAAUACGAAGGGGGCUAGCGUUGUUCGGAAUUACUGGGCGUAAAGCGCACGUAGGCGGACUGAUAAGUCAGGGGUGAAAUCCCGGGGCUCAACCCCGGAACUGCCUUUGAUACUGUCAGUCUAGAGUUCGAGAGAGGUGAGUGGAAUUCCGAGUGUAGAGGUGAAAUUCGUAGAUAUUCGGAGGAACACCAGUGGCGAAGGCGGCUCACUGGCUCGAUACUGACGCUGAGGUGCGAAAGCGUGGGGAGCAAACAGGAUUAGAUACCCGUGUAGUCCA